GACGAACGCUGGCGGCGUGCUUAACACAUGCAAGUCGAACGGAAAGGCCCUGCUUUUGUGGGGUGCUCGAGUGGCGAACGGGUGAGUAACACGUGAGUAACCUGCCCUUGACUUUGGGAUAACUUCAGGAAACUGGGGCUAAUACCGGAUAGGAGCUCCUGCUGCAUGGUGGGGGUUGGAAAGUUUCGGCGGUUGGGGAUGGACUCGCGGCUUAUCAGCUUGUUGGUGGGGUAGUGGCUUACCAAGGCUUUGACGGAUAGCCGGCCUGAGAGGGUGACCGGCGACAUUGGGACUGAGAUAGGGCGCAGACUCCUACGGGAGGCAGCGGGGGGGAAUAUUGCACAAUGGGCGGAAGCCUGAUGCAGAAACGCCGCGUGCGGAAUGACGGCCUUCGGGUUGUAAACCGCUUUCGCCUGUGACGAAGCGUGAGUGACGGUAAUGGGUAAAGAAGCACCGGCUAACUACGUG
Molecule: ribosomal RNA, 468 nt
Filed under: uncultured bacterium
Lineage: Bacteria
Description: partial 16S ribosomal RNA
Rfam family: Bacterial small subunit ribosomal RNA
Source: RNAcentral